Molecule: unclassified non-coding RNA, 20 nt
Filed under: Mus musculus (house mouse)
Lineage: Eukaryota; Metazoa; Chordata; Mammalia; Rodentia; Muridae
Description: oocyte_clustered_small_RNA11565
Source: RNAcentral
ACUUCCAAACUGCAGUGGUG